RNAcentral lists this ribosomal RNA (118 nucleotides) under Pteropus alecto (black flying fox). The record is from RNAcentral. Lineage: Eukaryota; Metazoa; Chordata; Mammalia; Chiroptera; Pteropodidae.
GUCUACUGCCAUGCUACCCUGAACAAGCCCAGUCCCAUCUGAUCUUGGAAGCUAAGCAGGGUUGGGCCUGGUUAGUACUUGGAUGGGGACCACCUAGGAAGACCAGGCACUGUAAGCA